RNAcentral lists this ribosomal RNA (379 nucleotides) under uncultured cyanobacterium. Its description in RNAcentral is "bacterial SSU rRNA". It matches the Rfam family "Bacterial small subunit ribosomal RNA", at positions 376 to 770 of the family's 1533-position model. Lineage: Bacteria; Bacillati; Cyanobacteriota. The record is from RNAcentral.
CGAAAGCCUGACGGAGCAACGCCGCGUGAGGGACGAAGGCCUCUGGGCUGUAAACCUCUUUUCUCAAGGAAGAAGACCUGACGGUACUUGAGGAAUAAGCCACGGCUAAUUCCGUGCCAGCAGCCGCGGUAAUACGGGAGUGGCAAGCGUUAUCCGGAAUUAUUGGGCGUAAAGGGUCCGCAGGUGGUAAUUCAAGUCUGCUGUCAAAGACCGAAGCUUAACUUCGGAAAGGCGGUGGAAACUGAAAAACUAGAGGACGGUAGGGGUAGAGGGAAUUCCCAGUGUAGCGGUGAAAUGCGUAGAUAUUGGGAAGAACACCAGUGGCGAAGGCGCUCAACUGGGCCGUAACUGACACUCAGGGACGAAAGCUAGGGGAGCG